Long non-coding RNA from Anthonomus grandis grandis, 1064 nucleotides. RefSeq lists it as uncharacterized. Lineage: Eukaryota; Metazoa; Arthropoda; Insecta; Coleoptera; Curculionidae. The transcript has 2 exons. The record is from RefSeq and is a predicted model, not a curated record.
UUAGCGCGGCGACGAGACGCGACUGCGACGAAAACAAACGAAAUUGUUUUUCUAUUGCGAUUUGCGAUUAGUCGUCAAUAUGGCUUCAACAGAGGAGGACGUUUCUGAGGUUUUAAUUGCAGAAAUUCAAGCAAGACCUGCAGUUUGGAACACAAAACUGACGUCAUAUAAGAAUAGACAUUUAAGGGACAAACUUUAUAUAGAGGUAGGAGAGAUUUUGGGAUUAAAAACGAAACUGUAGCCGCUCGUUGGAACAAUAAAAAGAAUACGUAUCGCCGUGAGUUGAAAAAAAUUCCAAAAUCUCGUUCUGGAGAUGGAGCCAGCAACUUUUCAUCUUCUUGACCAUAUUUUCAUAUGAUGUCGUUUUUAAAAGAUAUUAUGACUCCGGCCACCAAAUAUGGGAACUUAUCUUCUGCCCAGCAUGAAGAUAAGGAUAAUUCUGAAGAUGACAAUGAUGAGGAAUCCAAUCCAAUGUUGAUCCAAGAUCUCGGGAUCCGGUAUCAGAAUCAUCAGCGUCGCAACCUGUGACCAGACCAUCAUCUUCGGCUUCUUCUAGAACGACCAAGACGAAUAGAAAAGAACUGCACCAAAAGAGACCGUUUUUUUGAACUUGAAAACAAGAAGCUGCAGCUCUUAUCCCAAACCUUGGUUCAAGAUCCACCUGUAGCAGCUCCAGAAUGUGAUGAUUUAAUUUUUUAAAAGUCUGAUACCAUAUAUGAACAAAUUUCAACCGAUUCAAAAAAUCCAGCAAGUCAUUAUAGACGAAAUGUCGCGCACUGAAACCUGGAGACCUGAACCACUACAAACCCAUUCUGCCAAAAAAUUUAACACCACUGCAGCCACUAUAUCCUAAUAAUAGCAUUAUUCAAGAGAGUACCAUAUCAGCAUUUCCACCGGGAUUUUACCCAUAUACAUAAUCAAUAAGUAAGUUCCCGAUAUAUGUAUCUAUAUAGGUAAUACAUGUAUAUUAUGUAUAUUACGUAUAUUUUGUUUUUUGAGUUGUUUUUUUAUUACUUAAUAAGAAUUCAUGUUUUUUUUGUUAAAUAUAUUUUUAUAUACGAGUA